UACAGGGGGGGCAAGCGUUGUUCGGAAUUACUGGGCGUAAAGGGCUCGUAGGCGGCCAACUAAGUCGGACGUGAAAUCCCCAGGCUCAACCUGGGAACUGCGUCCGAUACUGGAUGGCUUGAAUCCGGGAGAGGGAUGCAGAAUUCCAGGUGUAGCGGUGAAAUGCGUAGAUAUCUGGAGGAAUACCGGUGGCGAAGGCGGCAUCCUGGACCGGCAUUGACGCUGAGGAGCGAAAGCGUGGGGAGCAAACAGG
This 253-nucleotide ribosomal RNA is filed under the name uncultured bacterium. Its description in RNAcentral is "partial 16S ribosomal RNA". It matches the Rfam family "Bacterial small subunit ribosomal RNA", at positions 524 to 776 of the family's 1533-position model. The record is from RNAcentral.